CCAACAACCAACAACCAACAACCAACAACCAACACAUUUGACACCAGGUAGUAGCUGUGACCGAACCCACGAAACCGACGCAAUAGAGGUAGUACUGUGAAGGAAAAGUGAAAGAUUUAGUACAGCAAAAAAAAGCAGGUCUAAAGACCCGUACCUCUUGCAUCACCGUUUAGCAAGCACACCCAGACAAAGAGCCUUCAAGCCUGUCAUCCCGAACGCAAGUGAGCUAUCCCCAGGCAGUAAUUGAACUAACCCAUUUCUGUAGCAAAAGGACGGGAAGACUUGAGGAUAGAGGCAAAAAACCAACCGAACUUGCUGAUAGCUGGUUGCCUGAAAUAAGAACCUAAGUUCAAACUUGGGUACCCAACCCGUAAAAAAAUAAUGUAUAUCUUUACCCAAGAACUAGUCAAUGAAGGUACAGCUCCAUUGACUAAGGAAACAGCCUCAGCCAGAGAGUAACUACCACCCUACUACCUGUUGGCCUCAGAACAGCCACCAAAAAAUAUAACGUUAUAGUAACAAUAAAAAAAUUCCAAACUUAGAUACCUCCUGGUCCUACUGAACCGGGCCACUCUAUAACAAACAUAGAAGAAACCAUGCUAAAACUAGUAAUAAGAAAGAUUCUCCACGGACAAAAUUUUAAACUUAUCAGACCAAAAACGGAAGCAUGAGGCCUGCUUAACGCACCCUGCACCUCACUGUAAAACCAACUCAGGGUUGUCCAUAGAACGGCCAAAAGCCUAAAAAGGAACUCGGCAAACUUUUUGACCUUUCCAACUGUUUACCAAAAACAUAGCCUUUAGACAUCAAAAAUAUUAAAGGUACCGCCUGCCCAAUGAGAGAAAACUCUUCAAUGGCCGCGAUAUAACCGUGCAAAGGUAGCAAAAUCAUUUGUCCCCCAAAUAGGGACCAGUAUGAAUGGCCACAUGAGAAAGAAACUGUCUCUUUAGGCCCGCCAAUGAAACUGAUCUGUCUGUACAAACGCAGACAUGAAAAAGCAAGACAAAAAGACCCUGUGAAACUUUAAAUGCCCGUCAUACAAAUGAUCAAGGCAUUUUUGGUUGGGGCAACCAAAGAGAAAUACAAACCUCUUAAACCGUCAUAAGGCAAACAAGCCUAAUGACUAAACCCACAGAUCCAGUAUUACUGAACAAAGAACCAAGCUACUCCAGGGAUAACAGCGCUACAUUCUUGAAGAGUCCCUAUCAACAAGAAUACCUACGACCUCGAUGUUGGAUUAGGAUACCCGAGUGGCGCAAAAGCUAUUUAGGGUUCGUUUGUUCAACGAUUAAAAUCCCACGUGAUCUGAGUUCAGACCGGAGCAAUCCAGGUCGGUCUAUAUCUGCUGAAGUCUUCAGCUAGUACGAAAGGACCGAUGAAGAAAGGGCUAUUUAAACAUACCCCUUACCCCCCAAAAACUGCUCAAGAAUUAAGUUUUGAGUAACACCCACAACGCCCCAAAAAAAGGGGCA
Molecule: ribosomal RNA, 1472 nt
Filed under: Calotes mystaceus
Lineage: Eukaryota; Metazoa; Chordata; Lepidosauria; Squamata; Agamidae
Description: 16S ribosomal RNA
Rfam family: Bacterial large subunit ribosomal RNA
Source: RNAcentral